UGGUAUAGUGGUUAAAGCACUCGACUUUCAUUCCGGUGACCCAGGUUCGAUUCCUGG
Strongylocentrotus purpuratus (purple sea urchin) is the source of this 57-nucleotide non-coding RNA. The record is from Rfam. Lineage: Eukaryota; Metazoa; Echinodermata; Echinoidea; Camarodonta; Strongylocentrotidae.